This 253-nucleotide ribosomal RNA is filed under the name uncultured bacterium. Its description in RNAcentral is "partial 16S ribosomal RNA". It matches the Rfam family "Bacterial small subunit ribosomal RNA", at positions 524 to 776 of the family's 1533-position model. The record is from RNAcentral.
UACGUAGGGUGCGAGCGUUGUCCGGAAUUACUGGGCGUAAAGAGCUCGUAGGUGGUUUGUCGCGUUGUCCGUGAAAACUCACAGCUUAACUGUGGGCGUGCGGGCGAUACGGGCAGACUGGAGUACUGCAGGGGAGACUGGAAUUCCUGGUGUAGCGGUGGAAUGCGCAGAUAUCAGGAGGAACACCGGUGGCGAAGGCGGGUCUCUGGGCAGUUUCUGACACUGAGGCGCGACAGCGUGGGGAGCAAACAGG